This 461-nucleotide ribosomal RNA is filed under the name uncultured bacterium. Its description in RNAcentral is "partial 16S ribosomal RNA". It matches the Rfam family "Bacterial small subunit ribosomal RNA", at positions 29 to 507 of the family's 1533-position model. The record is from RNAcentral.
ACGAACGCUGGCGGCGUGCUUAACACAUGCAAGUCGAACGGAAAGGCCCUUCGGGGUACUCGAGUGGCGAACGGGUGAGUAACACGUGGGUGAUCUGCCCUGCACUUUGGGAUAAGCCUGGGAAACUGGGUCUAAUACCGAAUAGGACCACGCGCUUCAUGGUGUGUGGUGGAAAGCUUUUGCGGUGUGGGAUGGGCCCGCGGCCUAUCAGCUUGUUGGUGGGGUAAUGGCCUACCAAGGCGACGACGGGUAGCCGGCCUGAGAGGGUGACCGGCCACACUGGGACUGAGAUACGGCCCAGACUCCUACGGGAGGCAGCAGUGGGGAAUAUUGCACAAUGGGCGCAAGCCUGAUGCAGCGACGCCGCGUGAGGGAUGACGGCCUUCGGGUUGUAAACCUCUUUCAAUAGGGACGAAGCGCAAGUGACGGUACCUAUAGAAGAAGCACCGGCCAACUACGUG